This 397-nucleotide unclassified non-coding RNA is filed under the name Hevea brasiliensis (rubber tree). The record is from RNAcentral. Lineage: Eukaryota; Viridiplantae; Streptophyta; Magnoliopsida; Malpighiales; Euphorbiaceae.
UGUUUGGCCUUCUUGGAGCAAUGUUAUCAGAGCUUCUUACUAACUGGACUAUCUAUGCUAACAAGAUUGCAGCUCUAAUGACUCUUGUGAUCAUCAUCGCCAUUAACUUGGCUGUAGGAAUUCUUCCACAUGUUGACAACUUUGCACACAUUGGAGGUUUCUUGACUGGUUUUCUCCUGGGCUUCGUUAUACUACUUCGUCCACAGUUUGGGUGGUAUGAAAGCCGGCAUCUUCCCGCUGAUACUCGUGUAAAGUCUAGGCACACGGCUUAUCAGUAUGUGUUAUUACUGGUUGCCGUGGUUUUACUUAUUGUUGGAUUCACUGUGUGUUUGGUAAUGCUGUUCAGAGGAGUGAAUGGGAAUGAUCAUUGCAGCUGGUGCCAUUAUCUAAGUUGUGU